Molecule: ribosomal RNA, 216 nt
Filed under: Glomeromycotina sp.
Lineage: Eukaryota; Fungi; Glomeromycota
Description: partial small subunit ribosomal RNA
Rfam family: Eukaryotic small subunit ribosomal RNA (bases 75-216)
Source: RNAcentral
GGGUCAGUAGGUUGGUCGUGCCACCGGUACGUACUGGUCUCACUGACUCCUCCUUCCUGAAGAACCGUGAUGCCAUUAAUUUGGUGUUGCGGGGAAACAGGACUGUUACUUUGAAAAAAUUAGAGUGUUUAAAGCAAGCUAACGCUUGAAUACAUUAGCAUGGAAUAAUGAAAUAGGACGAUCGAUCCUAUUUUGUUGGUUUCUAGGAUUGACGUA